UGGGUAACCUGCCUCAAAGAGGGGAAUAGCCUCCCGAAAGGGAGAUUAAUACCGCAUAAUAUGUUUAGGUCGCAUGACUUUAACAUCAAAGGAUUUUUCUUUUAGAACUUCCACUUUAAGAUGGACCCGCGGCGCAUUAGCUAGUUGGUGAGGUAACGGCUCACCAAGGCAACGAUGCGUAGCCGACCUGAGAGGAUGAUCGGCCACAUUGGAACUGAGACACGGUCCAGCUCCGUAGGAG
This 241-nucleotide ribosomal RNA is filed under the name uncultured bacterium. RNAcentral's name for it is "partial 16S ribosomal RNA". It matches the Rfam family "Bacterial small subunit ribosomal RNA", at positions 118 to 345 of the family's 1533-position model. The record is from RNAcentral.